This 511-nucleotide ribosomal RNA is filed under the name Williopsis jadinii. RNAcentral's name for it is "Cyberlindnera jadinii partial large subunit ribosomal RNA". It matches the Rfam family "Eukaryotic large subunit ribosomal RNA", at positions 137 to 656 of the family's 3401-position model. Lineage: Eukaryota; Fungi; Ascomycota; Saccharomycetes; Phaffomycetales; Wickerhamomycetaceae. The record is from RNAcentral.
CCCGAGUUGUAAUUUGAAGAUGGUGUUCUGGUGCCGGCGCCCUGUCUACGUUCCUUGGAACAGGACAUCGCAGAGGGUGAGAAUCCCGUGUGGCGGGGCGGCCUGGCUCCGUGUAGAGCGCCAUCGACGAGUCGAGUUGUUUGGGAAUGCAGCUCUAAGUGGGUGGUAAAUUCCAUCUAAAGCUAAAUAUUGGCGAGAGACCGAUAGCGAACAAGUACAGUGAUGGAAAGAUGAAAAGAACUUUGAAAAGAGAGUGAAAAAGUACGUGAAAUUGUUGAAAGGGAAGGGUAUUGGAUCAGACUUGGUGCUGUGCGAAUAGCGGCUCUUCCUGGGCCGCCCCACUCGCACUCCACCGGGCCAGCAUCGGUUUGGGCGGCAAGACAAUGGCGGGGGAACGUGGCACUGCUCUCGGGCAGUGUGUUUAUAGCCCCCGCUGAUGUUGCCUGCCUAGACCGAGGACUGCGGCUUCUGCCUAGGAUGCUGGCGUAAUGAUCCAACACCGCCCGUCUUG